RNAcentral lists this ribosomal RNA (492 nucleotides) under uncultured bacterium. RNAcentral's name for it is "partial 16S ribosomal RNA". It matches the Rfam family "Bacterial small subunit ribosomal RNA", at positions 29 to 507 of the family's 1533-position model. The record is from RNAcentral.
AGUGAACGCUGGCGGUAGGCCUAACACAUGCAAGUCGAACGGCAGCACAGUAAGAGCUUGCUCUUACGGGUGGCGAGUGGCGGACGGGUGAGGAAUACAUCGGAAUCUACUUUUUCGUGGGGGAUAACGUAGGGAAACUUACGCUAAUACCGCAUACGACCUACGGGUGAAAGCAGGGGAUCUUCGGACCUUGCGCGAUUGAAUGAGCCGAUGUCGGAUUAGCUAGUUGGCGGGGUAAAGGCCCACCAAGGCGACGAUCCGUAGCUGGUCUGAGAGGAUGAUCAGCCACACUGGAGCUGAGACACGGUCCAGGCUCCUACGGGAGGCAGCAGUGGGGAAUGUUGGACAAUGGGCGCAAGCCUGAUCCAGCCAUACCGCGUGGGUGAAGAAGGCCUUCGGGUUGUAAAGCCCUUUUGUUGGGAAAGAAAAGCAGCAGGUUAAUACCCCGCUGUUCUGACGGUACCCAAAGAAUAAGCACCGGCUAACUUCGUG